UUUAUUUGAGAGUUUGAUCCUGGCUCAGGAUGAACGCUGGCGGCGUGCCUAACACAUGCAAGUUGAGCGAUUUACUUCGGUAAAGAGCGGCGGACGGGUGAGUAACGCGUGGGUAACCUACCCUGUACACACGGAUAACAUACCGAAAGGUAUGCUAAUACGGGAUAAUAUAUUUGAGAGGCAUCUCUCGAAUAUCAAAGGUGAGCCAGUACAGGAUGGACCCGCGUCUGAUUAGCUAGUUGGUAAGGUAACGGCUUACCAAGGCGACGAUCAGUAGCCGACCUGAGAGGGUGAUCGGCCACAUUGGAACU
This 311-nucleotide ribosomal RNA is filed under the name Clostridioides difficile. RNAcentral's name for it is "bacterial SSU rRNA". It matches the Rfam family "Bacterial small subunit ribosomal RNA", at positions 1 to 320 of the family's 1533-position model. Lineage: Bacteria; Bacillati; Bacillota; Clostridia; Peptostreptococcales; Peptostreptococcaceae. The record is from RNAcentral.